This 137-nucleotide small nucleolar RNA is filed under the name Hucho hucho (huchen). Its description in RNAcentral is "Small nucleolar RNA SNORA9 (ENSHHUG00000005661.1)". The record is from RNAcentral. Lineage: Eukaryota; Metazoa; Chordata; Actinopteri; Salmoniformes; Salmonidae.
UAGCAGGCAGUUCAUGGAGGCUUGGCCUGCAGAGGCUCAGUCUGUCCUUUCCUGUAGUGUCUGCUAGAGAGAACUGGGGUGGUUUUUAGGUCAUGUUGUGUGUGUCCCCUCCAUGGCAAGGUAAACCACACACAUCA